Molecule: long non-coding RNA, 2831 nt
Organism: Patiria miniata (bat star)
Lineage: Eukaryota; Metazoa; Echinodermata; Asteroidea; Valvatida; Asterinidae
Exons: 4
Source: RefSeq, a predicted model, not a curated record
CGCGGCACACAUGUUUUGAUGUUUAGCUAGCUGCUGUCAAUUUCGUGCACACUUCAUGUUCAACUUUAAGCUCAGUUUUCUUGCAAAGAUACGUCUGUCCUUUUCAGAGGGAGUAAGCGAUUAUCGUUGAGAGAGGAGGAUGUGUCUACGGCGAAAACAGCCGUAUAUUUCAGGGCUCAAACAAUGAUAUCUGCCAGAAUGAACAAGCGUCAGUGGGACUUCGACCACCGAGACGAUGCUGGCUUACACCAUGCAAAGAAGGCCAAGCCUGCUCAGGAAUGGCCACACACCUACAGAACGGGAGUGAUCAUCACCCGGAUCAACCCCCACGCCGACGUACCAGUCAACCUCAUCCUGGAUUCCAUCAAGCAGGAUCUCGGCGACUACCAGUGGGUAUGCUACGAGCACGAUCCAAGUCAUGGCGGCCUCGCAUGCAAGGUCAGGGGCAAACACCUGCACCUGCUGGUGGUAAGCCUGCCCGCCGGGGAGACAGCUACAUACUAAAACCCUCAGCCGCAACAUGAAAACCAACCGCCCUCAGCGCCCUGUCGUCUCAUAGACGAAAACUUGCCCCGCAACCAAGAAGACAAAGACCCGAUGUUCAAGUUCGUACCAUCCUUGGAGGCCAUUGAGAAAAUGACCAAAUACAAAGCGGCAAAGAGAGGAACCGCCACCAAUUUGCGGGAUUGCUUUGGCAAAACGCGUAAACACAGAUGAAGGCUCACGAUCUUGACCUCGAGGCACUAUAGAAGCAAAUUGGGAAACGAUCAACGAUGUUGAUUCACCAAGCUACCACUCUUUCGAAUAAUCCAGCUGGCUGAUUGCCAAGUGGUGCGAACACCAAGGAGUGCUCCUCAAUUUCUCUCUCAGCGACAUCGAAAAAAACAUGAACAGAGAAGUCGCAAAGAAAAGCUGCAUCGCUCUGGUUGGGAAGAAGAUGCGGGAAGAAGAUGCAUCAUCCAUUCCCUGCAAGAACUCGCCAUCCGCAUCAGAGAAGUCACACAGGGAUCUGGAGGGUAUGCGUUCAUGUGGCAAGAAUGUAUGGACAAGCGAGCCAUUUUCUUGAAUGAACCGUACCUGGACCCCUGCGUCAUAGAGAAGGCCAAAAUUGUUCUGGAAGGCCAAGACACGAUGGUGCCCGUAAAACACCAAGCAAAGCUUUCCUGCCGUGCACACCGGUAUUGCCACUAGUAAUCACUUACUCUGGCGCCUCGCACCUUCCGAGAAGCAAGUAAUCAAAAACAGGUGCUUCAUUUACGAGAACUUAAAGCCUACUGAGGCAAAUGCCACCCCUUUGUCUGGCGCCAUCUUCGACAAGUGAUCAACAACAAGGCAGAGGAAGAACGAAGUCACAAUCAUGUGACGACAUACCAAACCCCUACAUACAGCACAGGGACUUGUCAUCUAACAGCAAGGACUGGUCUCGUCUGUCAGCAAAUGUGUUUUCACCUCCCCCAUUCAAAUUGGUUUUGUGUCUUGAUGGAUUGGAAUCAGAAGUAACAGGAGCUUCAGCUGAUGAAACAUGUCAAGGAUUUUACGGCAAAUCUCUACGAAGCCUUCAAUCAGCUACCUCCAGAUCCAACACACAACCUUUGAAUGUCAACUCUUUUAAAAGUAGUCUUGAUUACUACACCUCAUAAAUAUUCAUGUUCAAAUUGGAGCAUGUCAUUGGCCAAUUCUACCGUGUGUCUGGAAAGUAAAAAUGAUACACGCCCAGUUGACGUCUCCCAGUGAGUAUCCAGCUCAGUACCAUGCGGUAUCUUUUCUGGUAGCACCAAAAAUUCCCUCUGGAACCAGUGACACAUGCAAACAUAGUCUGUGGCAUGAAGUAACCUUUAUGGAAGCAGUCUGGUUUUUGUAGUCCUUGUAACUACUGCAGUAAGGCACCAGACUAUUUCAUUGACUGACAAAGAACUUGAAUAUCUUGUGCUGAAAGAAGAUACAAAAUCUAUGAAGGCCGUUAUCGACAAAGCAUUGAGGCCACUAAAAAGGCAGCGAGGCUACUAAAUAUUUUAUGAGGUGUAGUAAAACAAAUACAGCAUGGUUUAUUUCUGAAAAAUAGUUGAAAUUACUGGUCUCGAGGUGUAGGUUGGCUUUGCAUCGGGAGGUAGUCUUGAAGUUGACCUACAUCUCAGGACCAGUAAUUCCCACUACUUCCCCACAAACCAUGCUGUAAAUGUACAUCCACUCGUCCGAGUUGAACCUCUAAGACUUGUCUAAAUGUCAGUGAUUACAAUAUUAAACUCAUUGAGUUUCAAUCAUAAAAAAAAUUGGCAGGGUGAGUAGUACUGGGUCUUUAUACUGACUGUCUUGGGUUUUUUUUUCAAUGUGAAGGAAUGGAUAUCACUAGGCCGUUCUUUGAUUAAGUAUGAAUUACAAUAGCCCUAAAUUCUUGAAAAUAAGCUUGAUAUUUGGGAAGAGAUGUAGGAUAUUAGUGCUGCAUUCCAUAUAUAUUAUAUCUAACUCCUCAUAUUAAAAAUCCCGUAACUUCAAAUUUUUUAAAGUAAUUUGAAUGAUUAUUGUGCUAAAAGAGAGCUUAUGAAUGGGUCUUUUGUAUCCUGGAUCUUUUAAUUGCUACAUGCAGAACUUCACUAAAACAAUGGUCCCGACAUUUGGGUUAGGUUUUUUUUACUCACCAAGUAUAAUGUAUAUGUACACUACUGGAAAAACUAUGACUAAUGCAUUGUGGAGCACAUGAGGAUUAAUAGGUAUACAGGAAAGAAUCUUGAGGAUUAAUAAGUAUACAGGAAAGACGAAUGUUAAAACUUCAAAAAAAAGUAAUGAUGAUAAUUAAAGAGUGAUACAUGUAAUUAACUAAAAGUUAAAACAAA